GGGGAAUAUUGCACAAUGGGGGAAACCCUGAUGCAGCGACGCCGCGUGAGCGAAGAAGUAUUUCGGUAUGUAAAGCUCUAUCAGCAGGGAAGAAGAAUGACGGUACCUGACUAAGAAGCACCGGCUAAAUACGUGCCAGCAGCCGCGGUAAUACGUAUGGUGCAAGCGUUAUCCGGAUUUACUGGGUGUAAAGGGAGCGCAGGCGGUACGGCAAGUCUGAUGUGAAAUCCCGGGGCUCAACCCCGGUACUGCAUUGGAAACUGUCGGACUAGAGUGUCGGAGGGGUAAGUGGAAUUCCUAGUGUAGCGGUGAAAUGCGUAGAUAUUAGGAGGAACACCAGUGGCGAAGGCGGCUUACUGGACGAUUACUGACGCUGAGGCUCGAAAGCGUGGGGAGCAAAC
Molecule: ribosomal RNA, 401 nt
Filed under: uncultured bacterium
Lineage: Bacteria
Description: bacterial SSU rRNA
Rfam family: Bacterial small subunit ribosomal RNA
Source: RNAcentral